This 460-nucleotide ribosomal RNA is filed under the name uncultured Chitinophagaceae bacterium. RNAcentral's name for it is "bacterial SSU rRNA". It matches the Rfam family "Bacterial small subunit ribosomal RNA", at positions 338 to 795 of the family's 1533-position model. Lineage: Bacteria; Pseudomonadati; Bacteroidota; Chitinophagia; Chitinophagales; Chitinophagaceae. The record is from RNAcentral.
CCUACGGGGGGCUGCAGUAAGGAAUAUUGGUCAAUGGACGAAAGUCUGAACCAGCCAUGCCGCGUGGAGGAUGAAGGUCCUCUGGAUUGUAAACUUCUUUUAUAUGGGACGAAAAAAGGGUUUUCUAACUCGUCUGACGGUACCAUAUGAAUAAGCACCGGCUAACUCCGUGCCAGCAGCCGCGGUAAUACGGAGGGUGCAAGCGUUAUCCGGAUUCACUGGGUUUAAAGGGUGCGUAGGUGGGUUGGUAAGUCAGUGGUGAAAUCUCCGAGCUUAACUUGGAAACUGCCAUUGAUACUAUCAGUCUUGAAUAUUGUGGAGGUCAGCGGAAUAUGUCAUGUAGCGGUGAAAUGCUUAGAUAUGACAUAGAACACCAAUUGCGAAGGCAGCUGGCUACACAUCUAUUGACACUGAGGCACGAAAGCGUGGGGAUCAAACAGGCUUAGAUACCCUUGUAGUC